Molecule: ribosomal RNA, 253 nt
Filed under: uncultured bacterium
Lineage: Bacteria
Description: partial 16S ribosomal RNA
Rfam family: Bacterial small subunit ribosomal RNA
Source: RNAcentral
UACGAGGGGUGCAAGCGUUAAUCGGAAUUACUGGGCGUAAAGCGCGCGUAGGCGGUUUAUCACGCUGGAUGUGAAAUCCCCGGGCUUAACCUGGGAACUGCAUCCAGAACGGGUAGGCUAGAAUGCAGCAGAGGAUAGUGGAAUUUCAGGUGUAGCGGUGAAAUGCGUAGAGAUCUGAAGGAACAUCAGUGGCGAAGGCGACUGUCUGGGCUGACAUUGACGCUGAGGUGCGAAAGCGUGGGUAGCAAACAGG